UUCUGAUCAACUUUACAGAACGACGGAAUAAAUCAUUCCGAAAGAUAAAAAAGUGGCCCACAAGUGACUUCGGUUCCGGCUAAUAAUGUUGGCUACUCUUGACGAUAGGUUGCUUUACCUUAGAAAAGAUGCUGGUAUUGGCGGCUGCGUUCAGCUUUCGGAGGCUCAGGCGGUGCGGUUCCGAUACCAUUCGAAAACAAAAUCAAUGUCGGCAACUUGCAGUGAAACGUUACUACCCAAUCGGAUAUCCACUUCUGAAACUCAUCAGCUGGGUGCUGUUCAGAAUGUGCGACAAUAAAUUUAACAGGAAUUUGCGACGCAGAAUAGCCCCAUUCCAUGCCUUUUUCAACAUUAGUCGGAAUGGUACCUAUCUGAAGAAGUUGGCCGUUUAAAAACUUCCGGUGCACCAAUGGAAGCCAACGUAACGAAGGUCUACCCGGUAUCGGUCCAAGUCUACAACCAGGAAGCUAAAAAUGGGCAAGGAUCUAAGAAGAUCGUGGGUCUCGCCAUGGUUUUCCUAGGAAAAGGGCAAGUACUAUGAUCAACAUUUCGCUACUUCCAUUAUGGAAAUUACAGUUCUGUUGAUAGAUUUUUUUCAACUUUGGAAUUUCAUAACUUUUUUGUUUGUGAAUAUUUCAAACAUUUUAUGAAGGAUAAAUAAUUAUCCUAUGAAAUUUGGCGUUUCUUUGAUGUUUCUGUGUGACUUGAGACUUAACAAAAAAAUGUUAUUUUCUUAUUGAAAUUCACUCAAGCCUAAAUAUCUCAGAAAUCACGCAAUACCUAAGUUAAAAUUCUACAGAGCAAAUCUUAGAAGAUAAAACUAUCAUGUGGUACAAUUUUUGGGCAUUCACCGAUAGAUGCAAUUUCAAUAUAAUUUCGGAUGAAAAGAAAAUAUCUACUUAGUAAAAGGUUACAGCAGUUUGAAAUUUAAGUUUAAAUUGCAGCACGGAAACUUUGUAUAGAAUUAUGAACGGCACUGUAGUUUGUAAAUUCCUUCUCGUAAACCUAGUUCCUAAAUAUUAGAUGAUGGACGGAUAAAUUUCACAAUUAUUGUCGGUUUAUGUUGGCUGUUAAUUUAUUGUGAA
This is a long non-coding RNA of Uranotaenia lowii, 1085 nucleotides long. RefSeq lists it as uncharacterized. The record is from RefSeq and is a predicted model, not a curated record. NCBI's taxonomy places the organism in Eukaryota, Metazoa, Arthropoda, Insecta, Diptera, Culicidae. The transcript has 3 exons.